Molecule: ribosomal RNA, 483 nt
Filed under: uncultured bacterium
Lineage: Bacteria
Description: partial 16S ribosomal RNA
Rfam family: Bacterial small subunit ribosomal RNA
Source: RNAcentral
GACGAACGCUGGCGGCGUGCUUAACACAUGCAAGUCGAACGAUGAAGCCGGAGCUUGCUCCGGUGGAUUAGUGGCGAGCGGGUGAGUAACACGUGAGCAAUCUGCCCUUGACUCUGGGAUAACUGCGGGAAACUGUAGCUAGUACCGGAUACGACACCUUGGGGCAUCCCAGGGUGUGGAAAGAAUUUCGGUCAAGGAUGAGCUCGCGGCCUAUCAGCUAGUUGGUGAGGUAAUGGCUCACCAAGGCGACGACGGGUAGCCGGCCUGAGAGGGUGACCGGCCACACUGGAACUGAGACACGGUCCAGACUCCUACGGGAGGCAGCAGUGGGGAAUAUUGCACAAUGGGCGAAAGCCUGAUGCAGCAACGCCGCGUGAGGGAUGAAGGCCUUCGGGUUGUAAACCUCUUUUAGCAGGGAAGAAGCGAAAGUGACGGUACCUGCAGAAAAAGCACCGGCUAACUACGUGCCAGCAGCCGCCGUAA